AACGGCCGCGGUAUUUUGACCGUGCAAAGGUAGCGCAAUCAAUUGUCUUUUAAAUGAAGACCCGUAUGAAUGGCACAACGAGGGCUUAACUGUCUCCUUUUUCCAGUCAAUGAAAUUGAUCUUCCCGUGCAGAAGCGGGAAUUCUUACAUAAGACGAGAAGACCCUAUGGAGCUUAUUAAACACAAGAACAGAUCAUGUCACUUACCUUAGUUAUUGCUAGAAAAAAAACUAAAUGACUCCUGCUCCCAUGUUUUUGGUUGGGGCGACCAUGGAGUAAAAUUAAACCUCCACGUAGAACGAAAAUAUAUUAUUUUCCAAUUCAAGAAAAACAACUCUAAAAACCAGAAUCUCUGACUUUUAUUGAUCCGGCAAAGCCGAUUAACGAACCGAGUUACCCUAGGGAUAACAGCGCAAUCCUCUUUUAGAGUUCCUAUCGACAAGAGGGUUUACGACCUCGAUGUUGGACCAGGACAUCCUAAU
This 481-nucleotide ribosomal RNA is filed under the name Epiplatys huberi. RNAcentral's name for it is "partial 16S ribosomal RNA". It matches the Rfam family "Bacterial large subunit ribosomal RNA", at positions 1926 to 2551 of the family's 2925-position model. Lineage: Eukaryota; Metazoa; Chordata; Actinopteri; Cyprinodontiformes; Nothobranchiidae. The record is from RNAcentral.